GGCGAACGCUGGCGGCGUGCUUAACACAUGCAAGUCGAACGGCAACGCCCUGCGUUUUUGGUGUUCUCGAGUGGCGAACGGGGGAGUAACACGUGAGUAACCUGCCCUACACUUUGGGAUAACUUCAGGUAACGGGGGUUAAUAUCGGAUAGCAGAUCCUGCACCAUGGUGAGCGGUGGAACGUUUCGGCUGGUGUGGCUGGACUCGCGGCUUAUGAGCUUGCUGGUGGGGUAGUGGCUGACCAAGGAUUGGAAGGAUAGCCGGCCUGAGAGGGUGACCGGCGACAUUGGGACUGCGGUACGGACCAGACUCCUACGGGAGGCAGCAGUGGGGAACAUUGCACAGUGGGCGGAAGUCUGAGGCAGAAGCGUCGCGGUCGGGAUGACGGUUUUUGGGGUGUAAACAGCUUUCGCCUGUGACGAAGCGGUAGUGACGGUAAUGGGUAAAGAAGCACCGGCUAACUACGUG
RNAcentral lists this ribosomal RNA (468 nucleotides) under uncultured bacterium. RNAcentral describes it as "partial 16S ribosomal RNA". It matches the Rfam family "Bacterial small subunit ribosomal RNA", at positions 28 to 507 of the family's 1533-position model. The record is from RNAcentral.